This 492-nucleotide ribosomal RNA is filed under the name uncultured bacterium. RNAcentral describes it as "partial 16S ribosomal RNA". It matches the Rfam family "Bacterial small subunit ribosomal RNA", at positions 29 to 507 of the family's 1533-position model. The record is from RNAcentral.
AGUGAACGCUGGCGGUAGGCCUAACACAUGCAAGUCGAACGGCAGCACAGUAAGAGCUUGCUCUUACGGGUGGCGAGUGGCGGACGGGUGAGGAAUAUAUCGGAAUCUACUUUUUCGUGGGGGAUAACGUAGGGAAACUUACGCUAAUACCGCAUACGACCUACGGGUGAAAGCAGGGGAUCUUCGGACCUUGCGCGAUUGAAUGAGCCGAUGUCGGAUUAGCUAGUUGGCGGGGUAAAGGCCCACCAAGGCGACGAUCCGUAGCUGGUCUGAGAGGAUGAUCAGCCACACUGGAACUGAGACACGGUCCAGACUCCUACGGGAGGCAGCAGUGGGGAAUAUUGGACAAUGGGCGCAAGCCUGAUCCAGCCAUGCCGCGUGGGUGAAGAAGGCCUUCGGGUUGUAAAGCCCUUUUGGUGGGAAAGAAGAGCAGCAAGUUAAUACCCCGCUGUUCUGACGGUACCCAAAGAAUAAGCACCGGCUAACUUCGUG